This is an RNA transcript of Epinephelus fuscoguttatus (brown-marbled grouper), 10051 nucleotides long. It is a transcript of the gene named NHS-like 2, with no coding region annotated. The transcript has 11 exons. Lineage: Eukaryota; Metazoa; Chordata; Actinopteri; Perciformes; Serranidae. The record is from RefSeq and is a predicted model, not a curated record.
UUGUGCUUUAAUUUUGAAAGUUUAAACCGGAUGUUUUGCUUGUUACACUCUGUCUAAUUUGACACUAAUCACCAGAGCAGCUGAGUCUCUCCUCUCCACCGAGAGAAAAAAGAGAAAAGCUCGCUCGCAGUCAAAAACAAUGAGGGCGCACGACGCGCAACUCGCUCCAAAGCUCUCCAACAGCGGCGGAGUUUUUCCUCCCGGAGGAUUCGUAGCAUGCGUCUGUGCGCCAAGCGGAGGGAGAAGGACCACAGGAAUAUAACUUGACUAUCUGCGGAGUUUGUUAUCAUUAUUUUUUGGCUGGGGGUGUUAUCAUGCCUUUUUGCAAACGGACGGUACUUCCGAAAGAUGUGUGCAAGCCCGACGGCAGGAGGCUGCUGGAGGCGCGUCCGCGGCAGCAGGCGGAGAUUUUCGGGGACUUGGCGGACGUGUGCGGCUUCACCCUGUGCUCGGUGCUCCGGCAGCUCUCGGAUCUGUCCCGGCACUCGGUGAGCAUCCUGCAGGAGCUGGAGGGAGAGCUGGUGUCCGUGUGCCACCGGUCGGGCGCGCUGGAGGGCAGAGUGGUCCGGCUGCAGAGGCACGUCGCAGAGCUGGUCAGCAAGCCUCCACCGAGAACCACCAGCGGUCUAGAGGCGGAGAGCGGCAGGCGCGGCGGCAGCAGCAGCAGCCACGGCGACGGCAACCACAGCAGCAGCAGCGGCGGAGGAGGAGGCAGCAGCAGCAGCGGCGGUGCGGCCCACUUCAGGUCUCCAUGGCAACAGAGCGUGAACGUGUUCGGCUCGUGGAGCAGGCCGGAGUGUGUCGAGGAGCUGCACCAGCAGGCGCAGCUCAACCUCCAGAGCCUGCUGCAAGAUUUUGAGGAGCAGUUGUACGACACCAAGCUGACCGGUCAGACUUUCCGGCAUCCGUCCUCGCAGAGCUCCGACGACACGUCCACCUCGCUCAGCCGAUCGCCCAUCUCCCUCAACAACAAGAGACCUGACUUCAUCUUCCUGCCGGCGUCCAAACAGCUCUACGACGAUGAAACCACCUCCUCAGUGUUUGGACUGAGGUCCGUGACCGACCCGUCUCCCUCCCCGUCCCCAUCGCCCUGCGGCUCAGAUCGCCCCCCACUGGGUUGGAGUAGUAACAACAGCAGCAGUAGCACCGCCACUUCUGCUACCACCGGACCGCCUGUUGCAGACAAACCACGCUGGCAGCUCGGGAGACGCACACCGGGUCACUUCAUACCACUCGACAUCACAGGUGAAGGGAGAGGAGGGAAGUUCCACGGUGUCGACCUCCUCCAGCACUCCCCGUCCCCAUCCCCCUCUCCAGGGGACCCCUUCCCCCACCAGCCCCGCUCCCUAGAGCCUGUCACAGACACCCUCCACCAGAACCUCCCCCUGAGGAAGACGCACUCUGACCUCGACACAACCUUACCUGCAGAUAACAAUUUGGAGCAUAGUGCUCCGGGCCAGUUUCACCCAGGAACUAUGGACCACUCUGGGCUGCUGUGCUCAAACACACCGUCCGCUUCCUGGAACGGACCUAAGGGCUCCACUUUUUCUCCUGGAGCGUGGAACGAACCUUACAAAUACAGCACCAACAAAGGCCCGGCGGUCCCACCCAAACAGCACACCAUCAUCGGUAAUUCAGGAGGAGGGACGCAAGACGGGGUGAUGUUAGUGAGCUCAGGACAGCCAGCGAGCUCACAUUCCAGUUCAUUCACGUCUGUGUCGAACCCUUCUGGGAGAGGAGGGAAUAACAUACCAGGGAUUUCACUGGCAACAGCGAUGAUGGGGAAGCGGAGCGAGACGGAAGGGGCUGCAGCGGAUGGAGGGAGGGGAGGAGGAGGUGGGGGAGUUGGGGAAGCAGUGAGAGGGCGGGAGAGGUCGGCACGUUCCAUAGCAGCGGCAAACGCCUUCAAGUUCCGGGAGCGUUCCCUUUCUACGCCCACGGAUUCUGGUUCCUUCUGCUUUACAGAAGGUGGUUUAGGCCAGCCAGACGGGAACAUCCUGCCUACAGGAAAUGGUAAUGCUAUGGCAAUAACAGACCAACAACAGCAUCAUAACUUCCUUGGUUUGGGUGAGAACUACGCCCUUCUCUACCCUCGAGGGAGCUCUGAGGACAGUGCCAGCACCACAGACACAAUCUCUGUCACGGCUUCAGACUACAGUGCCGAUGGCCGCUUGCGCCUACGCUCCCGCUCAAUAUCACUUAAGAAAUCCAAGCGCAAGCCACCACCCCCUGUGAGGAGCGUCUCUCUUAUGAAGAACCUCGGAGAAGCUGAGGGGAGAAUCCAUCAUGAAGGCAGUCUUUACCGGGAUGGCCGGCCAAAAAGCCUACACAUUCCCAGGGACCACUUUCCAGACUUCCAGCCUGAUUUCCUCCUGCCCAGCUCCUCCAAACCCAUUGUUGCUGAGCGGGAGCUGGGCCAUGGAGGUACUGAUGGACCUCCAAGCCUGGAGGUCCAGGCACCAGAGAGGGAGGGAGAGACAGAGCUGACCUUCCCCACUCACUGGCAGCUAGGGGAGUGGAAGAAUGACCCUUACAGAUCUCUUUCAGGCUCCAGCACAGCAACAGGUACCACAGUGAUUGAAUGUAUGAAAGUCAGAGGCAGCUCAGAGUCCCUGCUCGAUUCUCCCUCCACCUCCCGAGCCACCUCACCCUCACAGCUCUCCAUGGAAACAGACAUCAAGGCUUCCUCGCCCUUUAAACCCCCAGGACUCAUGUCCCCAUCAAGUGGCUACUCCAGCCAGUCAGAGACUCCCACCCCAACUGUUCCCCUCAGUCAAAUGGCAGGUCAGGGGACAGUAGGUACAACAGGAACAUUGGGAUGUAAGUUGCGUCCGAAGAUCCCAGAAAGAAAAUCAUCACUACCAUCGCCCAAGGACCCGGCUGCGAGGUCUAGGUUGUCCUUUGAGAUGCCUGGGAAUGCACAUCUGGAGCUGUCAUCAAUCAAGCCAAAGCAAAAGGCCAGCAGACGACAUUCUGACACUUCGACGGCGGCAAAACCAGGAAAAAUCAGCCCCAGCUCCUCACAGGCACUGCCUGUUGUCACCCAGAAUGAGCUCAAGACUGUUCGGCUUCGUUCAGUCUCUCGUGGUGACUUGGAGGACUGCCCUGAUGGGGCAUCUGACACCAUAGAAGAAGAACAGCAUAACCGAGACCUAGGCGAGGAUCCCAGUCCGCCACCCACCCUCCCAAAACCCAAACCACCUGUUGCCAUCAAGCCCCCAUUACCCAAACGACCCCUAAACCUCCUGCUCAAGUCUCCUUCCCCCUCCUCCACCUCCCCUCUAGCCCUUGACUCACCUCCUGCCUCACCUGUGGACAGACCAGUGCCCCUGGGCAACAUCUACAAAGUCAUGAAAAAACCCAAACCCAAAAAACCUCCACCACAAACAACAAGUCCCUCUGGUCUCCCAGAUUCUACCACCAUUCCACAAACUGCCUAUGAUCAUCAAUUCCUUCCCCACUCCCAGUCCCUCUUUGAUCUCCCUCCUCUUCCAGACCCACAGCCUCUUCUGGAAGACCCAGCACUGGAGCCUGAGUUUGAUGUCGACCCAGAGAUCCAUUCUGGGGAAGGAGGCUCACUCCCCUCUCCCUGUAGUAACCAGGAGGCCCCGGAGCUACAGGACAAGAGCAAGACCCUCCCCUCGAGGAUGACAAUCUCCUGUCUGGCAGAGCUGUCAGACAAAAAGAAACCCAAGGUUCCACCUCCAGUCCCCAAGAAGCCAAAUGUCCUGCUUCUUCCCUCGUCGGUCCACUCCUCCACCAAUGGCAGCACAGAACGUCAGACCCCACAGGCUGAAAGCCCUGUGGGUCUUCCGUCUCCUGUAGGAGCAUUCCCACCAGAAGAGUUACCCGGCUCCCCCAGUGUUCCUGAUAUGCUAGAGCAAGAUGAGAACCACUUGGAUGACAAGUCAGAAGAGGAGAGUUCAAAAGAGUCAUCACUUCAGUCAUCUCUGCAGGAUUCCUCCCUUACAGAGCUGGGAGGGAAAAUGGCCAGCACUGGGAUUGGGGCAGAUGACUCAACAGCCAAUGAGAAGACGGUACUCCACAUCGCUGAGGAAACAGACGACGACUUGUUGGCCAGCACACCUGCAACGCACACCACCGAAGACCUGUUCACUAUUAUUCACAGGUCCAAGCGAAAGGUUCUGGGACGUAAAGAGCCAACAGACUCCUUUGGCAGCCGCCAGAGCCUGGUGUCCCCGGUGAAGCACAGCACCAGCGGUAGCGACCUCCGAAAUCUGACCUUAGGCAGCAGUCAGAGGUCGAGCUCCCGCAAUGAGAACUUCAUGGCCCUGCUCCAGAAGAAAGGCAGCAAGUCUUCCAGCGGAGGAGCCAGAGUCUCCGCCAUGGAGCUUCUCAAAAGCACAAACCCGCUGGCACGACGGGUCACAGAGUUUUCAAACACCACGUCGACGACUGGUGAGGGAGGAGACGUCGCAUCCGGGAAUGGCAAACCCAACGAUCAAUGAAUGGAAGUGUUGUCAACGGAUGUUAACCAGGUCCAUUUGCUGUUGACAAAGCUACCAACCAAUUCUACAAUGUGCCACUCACUGCAGAUGGGGCCUUCUGACUAACAUGUCCAACCGGAUUGCUCCAACUACUGAUUGACCAUUUGCACUGUCCAAUCAAAUUGGAGCACAUAUUUGGACAAAAUGGUCCCUCCCAUGGUUGAAGCACUAUUGUUCCCUGUCAAACCGGUCCCUCUAGGAGAGCGAGAAAUCUGUGGAGAGCAAAGUUCGUUCUCACUAUAUUUUCACUGAAAGUUGGAGGCUUUAGGGUUACGUUUCAACACUGCUCCGUGUUUUCCUAAUUGGGGAUAAGUUCAGUGUGGAGGCUGGAUGCACAGAUGGAUGGGUGGAGUAGACACAGGAAAUGUAGGGAUAUACAGUGGAUAUCUUUACUCCUGACUCUUGAAUGAAGACAACAGUCCCUGAUGACAACAAUGGUCAUAUAAAUGAAUCUGUAACCAGUUAUACUGAUCCACAAGGAUACCACAGAGGAUCAGUGAUCAAAUGAAUUCAAGAAAUAAAUGGAAUAAAAUUCAGAAGAUGCAAGACCUCCUAAUGAUUCGUCUACGGUUUAACCGAAACCCUCCAACCAGUAGCGCUACAGCACUCACACCUGUAGACCUACACAAAUAUAAGGAUAAAUUAUUAAAGGUGCGAUGAUGCAUCUGAAAAAGCAAGCAUGCCCAAAACGUUGGGCAUCAUAACUCUUGUUCUCUCUAUGGUAAAGGCAAUACCAUAGCAGGCAUCAGCAUUGUCAGAAAACUGAACAUUCUGAUCUGAGCGGAUGAAGCGCAGGGUUUACAAAGAAAAACCACGUGGGGGCUUUUUGCCACCAAAGAUGAGGCAUGAGCAUGUCACAGAUUUUGUCGCUCAUGCGAUGAACACGAACCUUCACAAAACAUUCCACAGAAGCACCGAGCAAAUGGACGGCAAUUUGGAACGCAAGCACUUUUCUUUUUCCGUGGCAUCGGAGGUCAUUUCGAUGGCGCACCCUUUGCGUCGCUACAUUUUUUGCCUCUCAUCAAUCAUUAUUUUUCCAGUCUUUUUUUACAUUUUUGUUUUCUUAUAUUUUUCCUACACAUGCUAGAUGGCCAUAUUCUGUACAUGUUUCAUUAGACUGUUCUGUAUGUAUCAUGUACAAAGAUAAAUGUAACGCAUCUAUCAACGGAUAUCAUUUGCAGACACAAAGACUAAAAAUAGUGUACAGAGCAGCAAGCAGCUUGGACUACAAACUGCCCACACCAUGGAGGGAAAACAUACUCAAGCACACACACACACGCACACACACACACACACACACACGGAGUAAGGAGUAACGCCAUGGAAGACAAACAGAACAGACCGGAACAGUGUGUGUGUGUUCAUACGAGUGUGUGCGCAGAUGAAAUCUUGCCUGUGGAGUUUCUGUACGGAGAGCAUGAAGCAGGCCUGGUUAUUAAACAGGGUUUUUAUUCAUUUUGGUCUCUGGUGACGGGACCAAAGGACUGUUAAAAACUACACACAGACCAGAGGGGACCUAGCGGUGUGUAUGUGUGUGUGUGUGUGUGUGUGUGUGUUUGUGUGCUUGUGUGUGUUCAUGUGCAUGUAUAGAGGGAAGUGCCAAGAACAAGACAGAGAAGAAAGAGAAAGAGAGAGUGCACGUACAUGUGCCUGUUUAUGUGUUUGGCAUUUUUGUGUGUGUGUCCUCACUGCGUGUGCAUAUUUGUGUGUGAAUGUGUGUGUGUGUCCUGUCACCCCGCAAUCUUUCCUUGGGAUAGGAUUAGAAUGACCUAACCAGACCCCCUUAAACCAUACAUUACAGAACCAUAAGGAUUUCGGAACCAGAAGGGAUUCCACAACCAAUAGGUUUCUGGAAUCAAGAGGAUUGAGAACCAGUGGAUUAGAGAAGGAAAAAAGAUUCCAGAACCCAAAGGAUUCUGGAAAAACUGGCAGAGUUUGGAAUUCGGGAAUGAGGGGGUCUUGUGAUGAUAGAACCCCCUGGUCAUAAUAGCACCAAUCUUGGAACACAAUCUGAGGUUCAGACCUAGGUUUGAAAAUGAUUUAGCAUAUGGGGGUAAGCGCCAAUAUUCCACUGAUUCCGAUGUAGCCAGCGAUAUCUGGAUAUUCUGGCCAAGACUUCGUCAUUGUCUACUGUAGGGAUGCACGAUGAUAUAUCGGCACUUGAUUGGUAUCCACUGAUAGGGAUACGGUAUUUUGCACAAUGAAUGACUAUUACAUACAUUGAAAAGCAUUCUAUUUCAUGUCUCCAUCUGCUGGUGGGCCAUCACAAUAAGAGUAUGCAUGAAUAUUAUGAUGUUAAUUCCACUAUAGAAGAGACUUGAUGAUAGAAUUAGGUAGGGAAAAAAGUGGAUACAUCAAUAUUGGUCUCAGUUAUUGGUCAAAUGAGUUGUUACAUAUAGGCUUAUCGGAUAUAUAUCAUGCAUCCCUAGUUUACAGUCUGAUUGGCAACAUGAGAUGCUAUAUAGAGUCAUGGCACUCUAUAAAUGGAUAUCUACAUGUGAUUAAUUAAAGGCUAAAUUGUCUUCACACAAUAACUGGUGUAUUUCAAGAUGAUGCCAUUCCAUUGUUCAGACUGCCUAAAAUUCCGAAUCCCCAUUAGUCUUAAGAAGGUCCCAUUGGACCAAAAGCCUAUUUCUCCAACAGCCUGUUAUCCCAAAAACAAACGCCCAUUGCUCAAAAGUCCUGUUUCUCCAACAAUGCACACUCCCUGCAGUUAGAUUCAGUUUCUCAAUAGUGUUCUAGCCACCAAUUCUGAGUGUUUUUAUCAACCCUUUGUGGUAUUUGGGCCACCUAUCCCAGGUGUUCUACCUACCCUUUGUGGCAUUUCCUAGUCCACUGAACCCGAUUUUCUGCCACUUAAUGUGGGUGCUUCAAAUCAAGACAGGAUCUUUUCCUAACCUUAAACAGGUGGACUUUGUGCCGAAACCUAAUCACACAUUCACCACAGUGUCGUUAAGAUACCUUAAGUUUCAGCGUACCUGCUACAAAAUACUGUACAAAUGUACAAGUCUAACAUUUUUUCUGGUGAUUGGGUUGUCUAGCUACAGGCAGUGUGUAUUUUUGGAGAAACUAAACUUCUUCGGAGUCAUGGGUGUUUGUUUUUUGGAUAAUGCGCUUUCAGCAAAAUGGGCUUUCAGUUCAAUGGGAAAUUUUUUGGACUAACAGGGCUCCAGAAAUUCGGGCAGUCGGAACAAUGGGCAGUCCCCCUGUGAGACUGCAUUUCGGCUAAUGCGUUCCGCCUCUCCACAGGAUCUGUUUCCCAGCAUCCAAGCAAAGCCCACUCAGACGUGAUAUGUCAGUACUCUCCGGACUUCAAACCACCGCAAAUGGAAACCAGAACAAUUCUGAUACCAAAAUCUUGUCCUGUUGUCAACAGAUUCUGCAUUAAUAUGCAGAUAUCUGUUUAUAGAGAUUCCUACAGCUCUAGCCAGAGAAUCCGUUUGUCUGCACUGUCGCAGAGUGACAUUACAGGAAUAGUUUGUUUGUUUUGCCCUCCUCCAUACACGUUUUUCACUCUCUGUAUCUUUCGUCUCGGAGGUGAGGUGGUGGUCUGUGACGCCCUCCUCCUCCUCCUCCUCCUCCUCCUCCUUUCCACUCAUUCCUCUCCUCCUUUCAUCGCUGCUGGAGCACACACUCCAUCUGUCUCUCUGCAUAUAGCAUCAUCUCUCUUUUUCUCUCCUGUAAUCACUCUUCUUCUGGCACAUACAGUAGCACACUCCGUCUCUCUCCUCGCCUAUAUACUGCAACCUCUCUCUGUUUUUACACGUAGCACCGCCUCUCUAUCCUUUCCUCUUUUAACCUUCUCUCCAUCCUCUCCUCCCUCCCUGACCCUCCCCCAUUUUCUGUUAACCUUCCCCUGUCUCUCCCAUCUCUCUUCUCUCUCUUCCUUCUCUCUGCAUUCAGUCUAUGCAUCUGAGCUCGGCAGACGACACGACACCGGAUGAAUGUCAAUGAAUGACUGUUAAGAAAAUAGAUGCUGUGCUUAGUUUGAGAGUGCAAAAACAAACAUCUUUCUGUCAGCGCUUAUCUUCUGCCUUCUCUCUUUCUUGCUCUGAGUUUUUAUAUUUUUUUCCUUUUGAGUGUAACAUGGAUUUAACAUGGGUGAAUGGAUGGGAUCUGUGCGCAAACACAGAAACAGGCAGGGUUUGAAUGUGUUUUUGCAUAAAGGACCUUUACUUUCGGACUGUGAACGAAACACCCUGUGGUAUUUAACCCCCCGACCGACCCUCAGUUCUGGAUCAGCGUGUGGACGGUCUGAGAAUUUUGGAUUAGCAGUGGUUCAGCUCUCACACCUGACUUAUCCCCUGCAUGGAUGGACCGUGUGGAGGGAGGAGGGAAACUAUCCCUCGGUGCUAUUGAGUCAGAGCUCCCCCUAGUGGAUGGAAAAGGAGGAACCACACAUAGCAGGAGAGUUAAAAAAAACUCCUUCACACGCAUCUCUCUUCCCUACAACAGUCCUUCAGGUAUUCCAUCAUCCUGAAAAAAAGACGACGAUUUUAAAAAUGCAUAAAUUAUCACCAUUUAUGAUGACUAGUCAAGUGACGCUUGUUUUAAAUAUUUAGUGAAUGAAAAAAGAUAAACCUAUAAAACUCUGUGUUUGUUUGCCUUGUAUACUGAAUUAUGGGCGUGUUGCUGCAGCGCCUGCUGUGUUUUUUUUUUUAUUUCAUUAUAAUUUUUCAUUUCAGCUGCCUUGGUAGUGCAUACACAAACAACCUUUGCAAAAAUCUGGCCAAAAUAACAGAUUUAAAGGGAGCAUUUAUGUUAUAUCUGAAUCUGAACUGUAAAGAAAAGUUUGAAAUCUGGUGCCUCAAGUGACUCAAAUAUUUUAAGUAUUUACCAAACCAAUAUUUGCCCAAAUCUGCAUUCAUGUACAGGUAAGCAGAGUGCGGCAGUGUGGUGAUAUUUUUCUCCUUUCAGAGCAAUAUCCCUCAGAGCGAUCACAGAUCUGAGAUCAGAUAAGUGAAGCUGGAAGGGAGAUCAAAAAACUCCAAAACACAAUUUGAACUAAGCCCAAUAGAUUUUGUUAAAAAUGUGGAAACAGAGAAGAGAGAUAUGAGCAGAGUGUUAGGAGACAGAGGAUGUGUUGUUUCAGCACAAUAAUAACAGGAACAGUGUGUUGUCGAAAAGUACAAUGUGGUGUGUAGAUGCAUGACACAUCUAAAAAUGGGUGUGUAAAAGGAUACGAUGUGUCAGCGUGUUUCAGUGUGUGUCAGGGUCAACAAACCACUGUGUUGGAUCUAUAUGGAAGCAAAUAAGUGUUCAGUAUCAGUAUUAAGAUCCAGGUUGCUCACAUUCAGUUGGUUAGAUUUUAAGGCUGCCCCCGUCUAAGAAUUUUCCUGGUCAACAAUUUAGAGCCAUUAGUCAACUAGUCACCUGCAUGUUUACAAUACUAAGUUCGGGGUGUGAGAAAGAAUAGUAUCAGUAACAUUGUUAACACUGUGCUACAUUACAGAGAAAUACAAAACCGUACUAAUGAACCUUCAUUAAUAUAGGCCUAUAUUUUAUCUACAAGUGCACGUCACACACUGAGCGAGCCGCCUGUU